GUCAUUUUGGCUAACGGUUGCUUACCUUGCAUUUGAGCUUUGGUUGGUGGCUGUUAGUUGGGUGGUUUCGGGAAUGUCUUACCGUAAAGGUGCAUGAGUGGUGUUUGGUUUGUUACGGGUGGUUGGCUCUUUGCUUGCGCAACAACUUCCACCUGGCAUACCUCUUCAGUUUUGUGUCAAUGCUUGUAUCGCGUUGAACGCAUGGUGGGUUUCUUGUGUUACAUGCCUAAGUGAUGGUACCGUUCGAUGAAUUUAUGUCAAUUUUCGUCUUGCAUUGCACAUGCGAUGUGAGAUGAACCUUAAUGCUUCCUUUGUGAUCCACUAUUUUGGUGCNCCCGCAUUGAUUUUGUGGCUCGCUAAGUGUUGCUUGGUCUCAUCGAUAUGGAACCUUGUGUGGGCAUAGGCUCUUUUGGUAGAUCCUUGUUUGCCCUAGUUAAGCUUUUCAAAUGCGAUCUCCUAUCAUGUUUUAGCAUGUUAGGAUACAUCGAAUAUGAAUGCUAC
RNAcentral lists this unclassified non-coding RNA (501 nucleotides) under Craspedia variabilis. Its description in RNAcentral is "partial contains external transcribed spacer and 18S ribosomal RNA". The record is from RNAcentral. Lineage: Eukaryota; Viridiplantae; Streptophyta; Magnoliopsida; Asterales; Asteraceae.